This 529-nucleotide ribosomal RNA is filed under the name uncultured bacterium. RNAcentral describes it as "partial 16S ribosomal RNA". It matches the Rfam family "Bacterial small subunit ribosomal RNA", at positions 355 to 900 of the family's 1533-position model. The record is from RNAcentral.
UGGGGAAUAUUGCACAAUGGGCGAAAGCCUGAUGCAGCAACGCCGCGUGAGUGAUGAAGGUCUUCGGAUUGUAAAGCUCUGUCUUUUGGGACGAUAAUGACGGUACCAAAGGAGGAAGCCACGGCUAACUACGUGCCAGCAGCCGCGGUAAUACGUAGGUGGCGAGCGUUGUCCGGAUUUACUGGGCGUAAAGGGUGCGUAGGCGGAUGUUUAAGUGAGAUGUGAAAUACCCGGGCUUAACUUGGGUGCUGCAUUUCAAACUGGAUAUCUAGAGUGCAGGAGAGGAGAAUGGAAUUCCUAGUGUAGCGGUGAAAUGCGUAGAGAUUAGGAAGAACACCAGUGGCGAAGGCGAUUCUCUGGACUGUAACUGACGCUGAGGCACGAAAGCGUGGGUAGCAAACAGGAUUAGAUACCCUGGUAGUCCACGCCGUAAACGAUGAGUACUGGGUGUAGGAGGUAUCGACCCCUUCUGUGCCGCAGUAAACGCAUUAAGUACUCCGCCUGGGAAGUACGAUCGCAAGAUUAAAAC